UUAGAGUUUGAUCAUGGCUCAGGAUGAACGCUGGCGGCGUGCUUAACACAUGCAAGUCGAACGAACCUUCGGGUUAGUGGCGGACGGGUGAGUAACGCGUGAGAAUCUGCCCUCAGGAGGGGGAUAACGGUUGGAAACGACCGCUAAUACCCCAUAUGCCGAGAGGUGAAAUGAAUUUCGCCUGAGGAUGAGCUCGCGUCUGAUUAGUUAGUUGGUGGGGUAAUGGCCUACCAAGACAUCGAUCAGUAGCCGGUCUGAGAGGAUGAUCAGCCACACUGGGACUGAGACACGGCCCAGACUCCUACGGGAGGCAGCAGUGGGGAAUUUUCCGCAAUGGGCGAAAGCCUGACGGAGCAACGCCGCGUGAGGGAUGAAGGCCUCUGGGCUGUAAACCUCUUUUAUCAAGGAAGAAGAUCUGACGGUACUUGAUGAAUAAGCCACGGCUAAUUCCGUGCCAGCAGCCGCGGUAAUACGGGAGUGGCAAGCGUUAUCCGGAAUUAUUGGGCGUAAAGCGUCCGCAGGCGGUCUGUCAAGUCUGCUGUUAAAGCGUGGAGCUUAACUCCAUUUCGGCAGUGGAAACUGACAGACUAGAGUGUGGUAGGGGCAGAGGGAAUUCCCGGUGUAGCGGUGAAAUGCGUAGAUAUCGGGAAGAACACCAGUGGCGAAGGCGCUCUGCUAGGCCAUAACUGACGCUCAUGGACGAAAGCCAGGGGAGCGAAAGGGAUUAGAUACCCCUGUAGUCCUGGCCGUAAACGAUGAACACUAGGUGUCGGGGGAAUCGACCCCCUCGGUGUCGUAGCCAACGCGUUAAGUGUUCCGCCUGGGGAGUACGCACGCAAGUGUGAAGCUCAAAGGAAUUGACGGGGGCCCGCACAAGCGGUGGAGUAUGUGGUUUAAUUCGAUGCAACGCGAAGAACCUUACCAGGGUUUGACAUCCUGCGAAUCUCUUGGAAACGAGAGAGUGCCUUCGGGAACGCAGUGACAGGUGGUGCAUGGCUGUCGUCAGCUCGUGUCGUGAGAUGUUGGGUUAAGUCCCGCAACGAGCGCAACCCACGUCGUUAGUUGCCAGCAUUUAGUUGGGCACUCUAGCGAGACCGCCGGUGAUAAACCGGAGGAAGGUGUGGAUGACGUCAAGUCAUCAUGCCCCUUACAUCCUGGGCUACACACGUACUACAAUGCUACGGACAAAGGGCAGCAAACUCGCGAGAGCUAGCAAAUCCCAUAAACCGUGGCUCAGUUCAGAUCGUAGGCUGCAACUCGCCUACGUGAAGGAGGAAUCGCUAGUAAUCGCAGGUCAGCAUACUGCGGUGAAUACGUUCCCGGGCCUUGUA
Molecule: ribosomal RNA, 1331 nt
Filed under: uncultured bacterium
Lineage: Bacteria
Description: 16S ribosomal RNA
Rfam family: Bacterial small subunit ribosomal RNA
Source: RNAcentral